UGAGGAGAGUGAGGGUCACCCUGUAGGCCA
This 30-nucleotide non-coding RNA is filed under the name Homo sapiens (human). Lineage: Eukaryota; Metazoa; Chordata; Mammalia; Primates; Hominidae. The record is from RNAcentral.